This is a long non-coding RNA of Salvia splendens (bonfire salvia), 200 nucleotides long. RefSeq lists it as uncharacterized. The record is from RefSeq and is a predicted model, not a curated record. Lineage: Eukaryota; Viridiplantae; Streptophyta; Magnoliopsida; Lamiales; Lamiaceae. The transcript is spliced from 3 exons.
UGACCGUUUUAGUUUGUUAAAGAAUCUUCCAUCCGCUGUUAAGACAGGGGAAUACACUCCUCAUCUGCUGUUGCAACGGAAAAGAUAUUAGUGUAUGCGUUUGUCUGGCUGUUUUUACACCAUUUUUUUAUGAAGCAGGCAAAUGAAAAGGGGAUCUCUAUUGGAGAGUGUAUGUAUGAUGACGCCUACCUGACACUACA